GUGCUUGCUUGUUGCUUCGGCAGCACAUAUACUAGAAUUGGAAUGAUGCAGAGGAGAUUUGCAUGGCCCUUGUACAAGGAUGACAUGCAAAUUCAUGAAGCAUUCCAUAUUUUU
This is a small nuclear RNA of Marmota marmota marmota (Alpine marmot), 114 nucleotides long. Lineage: Eukaryota; Metazoa; Chordata; Mammalia; Rodentia; Sciuridae. The record is from Ensembl.